This 279-nucleotide ribosomal RNA is filed under the name uncultured bacterium. RNAcentral's name for it is "partial 16S ribosomal RNA". It matches the Rfam family "Bacterial small subunit ribosomal RNA", at positions 506 to 784 of the family's 1533-position model. The record is from RNAcentral.
UGCCAGCCGCCGCGGUAAUACUGAAGGUGCAAGCGUUAAUCGGAAUUACUGGGCUUAAAGAGCUCGUAGGUGGUUAAAAAAGUUGAUGGUGAAAUCCCAAGGCUCAACCUUGGAACUGCCAUCAAAACUUUUUAGCUAGAGUAUGAUAGAGGAAAGUGGAAUUUCUAGUGUAGAGGUGAAAUUCGUAGAUAUUAGAAAGAACACCAAAUGCGAAGGCAACUUUCUGGAUCAUUACUGACACUGAGGAGCGAAAGCAUGGGUAGCGAAGAGGAUUAGAUA